ACAGCUCCUCCAUUUCUUGCCCAUAUUGCAUGCAUUGGUAUAGAAGCAGUGCAUUUGAGAUACUGAUCCUGCCACUUUUGCAGGGAGAGAAACUCUACUGCUCAUGUCACCAUUCCCAGGCACAUCUGGUUUCUAAGGCAUCAACAGCCCACACAUCUCUGCUGUUGCAUGGUCUCAAUAUCCUACAUCUAUUGAGAUGGCUGCAAAGCAACCUUGGUAGCAUACCACCCCUCAGUGUCAUGCUGUCCCCAGGCUUAUCUCUAGCAAGCCUGAUUUUAUCCCUUUCUCCUUCAAAUCUAGUCUAAAAUUCUCUCAAUGAGUCUUAAAUCCUGUGCAAGUUCCUUUUCCUCCCUUGUUACAAGUGUACCCCAUGUCAGCAGGUCAUGUAUAUCCCAUGUUAGCAGGUCAUGUAAACCAACACACAGUUUUGUCAGUGACACUAGGAACAGAGUCAGGUAUUGAUCUGCUGGCUCUUCUUCCUUCUUUUUGCAUCAUUCCAUACUCUGUGCAAAGCCUAUUCACAACUAGCCACAACCAGCACUAGAGACUUUAUCAUAAAGUCAGGCUCUGACCCCAAUUGCUGGGUGUAGCGACGGUGAUUGGCCUCUUCAAAUAAGUGGAUGCCCAGGCUAGCUCGGCCAGCACCGCCGGCAGCAAAUGGGGCACUCCCCCUCAGGACCAGCCGCUUCCCGGGGAGAGCGCCUAAGGCUCUCGCCUUAGGGCAGAGGAUCCAAGGAUAGCUGGUGGUGGAGCUUUGCUGCAACCCGCCAGAGAAGAAAGAGCAGAGUCCAGACAGCGUGCGAACUGGGGAGGGUUUAUUAGGAAGGGGUGACGUCUGUCCAGACUCCGAAAAACCCGGAGCCUGCGUCACAGUUAAAUAUGAGUUCAGACAACCAAUAGGGAUAGAGAACAUGGGAGGAGAAACUUGAAUGACACUUGCGGGGAACCAACCAGGGGGUGAACAGGGAGGGGCCCUGGCCCUUGAACCAAUCACACGAUGGCCUGCCUAGGAGUUUCUGGAAGGGAAGGCAUUGAUCCAUCUAUAGCUAUGACAACAAAACUCAGAUGACCUUAAUGUAAAUGAGAGAAUGUCAUUGACAUAUGACCAGACAUAGCAAAUGCAUGGGAAAACAGCCUAAAAUGUCAGUGAGAUGCAAAGUCUUUCAGAUACAGCCAAGAUGUCACCUAUAAUUCAUUCAGUGUGCAUGCAGUCCAAGG
Long non-coding RNA from Passer domesticus (house sparrow), 1218 nucleotides. RefSeq lists it as uncharacterized. Lineage: Eukaryota; Metazoa; Chordata; Aves; Passeriformes; Passeridae. The transcript has 3 exons. The record is from RefSeq and is a predicted model, not a curated record.